RNAcentral lists this ribosomal RNA (226 nucleotides) under uncultured bacterium. Its description in RNAcentral is "partial 16S ribosomal RNA". It matches the Rfam family "Bacterial small subunit ribosomal RNA", at positions 110 to 334 of the family's 1533-position model. The record is from RNAcentral.
GAGACACGUAUCCAACCUGCCGUCUACUCUUGGCCAGCCUUCUGAAAGGAAGAUUAAUCCAGGAUGGCAUCAUGAGUUCACAUGUCCGCAUGAUUAAAGGUAUUUUCCGGUAGACGAUGGGGAUGCGUUCCAUUAGAUAGUAGGCGGGGUAACGGCCCACCUAGUCAACGAUGGAUAGGGGUUCUGAGAGGAAGGUCCCCCACAUUGGAACUGAGACACGGUCCAA